GAGCAUGUGGCGGAACUGGUAUACGCGUACGAUUCAGAAUCGUAUGCCGCAAGGCUUGAGGGUUCAAAUCCCUCCAUGCUCA
Non-coding RNA from Parcubacteria bacterium C7867-005, 82 nucleotides. The record is from Rfam. NCBI's taxonomy places the organism in Bacteria, Candidatus Parcubacteria.